RNAcentral lists this long non-coding RNA (36268 nucleotides) under Citrus maxima (pomelo). RNAcentral's name for it is "long non-coding RNA (CMAX_LNC002732)". The stretch from base 28366 to 28469 matches the Rfam family "Plant small nucleolar RNA R71". The record is from RNAcentral. Lineage: Eukaryota; Viridiplantae; Streptophyta; Magnoliopsida; Sapindales; Rutaceae.
ACGUAAAGCUCAUGUUAUUAUUGCUGCAAGAAACAUGGCAGCUGCAAAUGAAGCAAAACAGCUUAUUCUAAAAGAAGAUGACACUGCUCGUGUUGAUACUCUGAAACUUGAUCUUUCCUCUAUUGCUUCUAUUAAAGAUUUUGCUCAGAACUUCAUUGCUCUUAAUCUUCCCCUCAACAUCUUAAUGUAAUUUUACUCGCCCCCUCUUUCUCGAAAUAUUACAUAACUAUCUACUGAUGUUUCCGAGAAACAAUAAAAGCAUACUAUAACAUGCAAAAAUUAAUUUAAUGCAGAAACAAUGCUGGAAUCAUGUUCUGUCCCUACCAGAUUUCUGAAGAUGGAAUAGAGAUGCAAUUUGCAACAAAUCAUAUUGGUGAAUACUUUAAUUUGAAGCUGUAUUGGUUGUUAUUAAUUAACUAGCUAAAUUAGUAUUCAAACUUUAAAUAUUACUUUUGCAGGGCAUUUUCUUUUAACAAAUUUGCUUCUGGACACAAUGAAUCGCACGGCUAAAGAAACGGGUAUUGAGGGCAGGAUAGUGAAUCUAUCAUCAAUAGCCCACCAAUACACAUACAAAGGUGGGAUUCGGUUUCAGAAGAUCAAUGACAGGGCCGGGUAUGUUUUGAUCAUAUAAUAAUAAUUAAUCAACUAAAAAUUUCUUCUCAUGUACGUCAUAAAUUUUGAUUCAGUUACUCUGACAAAAAGGCUUACGGGCAAUCUAAAUUAGCUAACAUAUUACACGCCAAUGAGCUCUCGCGACGAUUUCAGGUAAUCGCAGUAAAUGAUUUGAUGAUCAUUUUUGUUUCCUGAGUUAAGCCCUGCUUGGUUUUGAAGUUGGGUUUGGAAGCUAAAAUAAUUUGAUCCAUGAAAAGUUAUUAUUUAAAAGUCACAUUCACUAUACACCAUUAACUUUUAUUUCGUAGUUGUAGUUUUAUCUUAUAAAUUACAGUAUUUCAAUACCACUCGGACCUUAGUAGCCCAUGAACAUUCGUCACAUGAUAAUUUUACUAACUUGGUUACAGGAAGAGGGAGUGAAUAUCACAGCAAAUUCAGUUCAUCCGGGGCUAAUAAUGACGAAUCUUUUCAAGCAUUCUGCUGUUGUGAUGAGUAUGUUCUAUCAUAUAUAAUCCCAGAAAGUAAAAACAAGCCGCGUUAAGAUGUUUGUUUUCUUACUAUCUUUAUUUGUGCAGGAUUUUUGAAAUUUUUCUCAUUCUUCCUGUGGAAAAAUGUACCUCAGGUACUUAAUUUCCUAAGAGCUCAUUGAAAUUUGUCGGUUGAUUAUUAACUAACUAACGUUACCUUUGAAACUAAUGGCUCCAGGGGGCAGCCACAACGUGCUAUGUAGCUCUACAUCCAAAUCUGAAAGGCGUAACCGGAAAAUAUUUCCUGGACUGCAAUGAGAUGCCGCCAAGUGCACUUGCUAGAGAUGAAACGCUGGCAAAAAAACUGUGGGACUUCAGCAACAAAAUGAUUAACUCGGCUUCAAAAACCUCAGCAUAAGGUUAUUGCAAUACUACAGACUUACUACGAGUGAAAUUAGAGACUCAAGUGCUGGUUACUUCUAGUAUUUAUAUAUGGAAUCGAUUGGAAUGGAAGGGGGUGUCGUGUGAAUGAAUUGCUUAGUUAUGUAUGGAAGCAUAAGUGGCUUUGAGAAAUUGAUUGAUAUCAAUCGCAUAAACGUGUUGCUUGUAAUCGACGAUAGUCACAGUCUAUGUACCCACAUUUUGCUUCUCCUCUACGGCACCCAUAGCGUGUACUGAUGAUCAGAAAAGUCAAUAAAAUAAUUAUCUGACGGUGCAAGCAAAUACAGGCCAUCGGAAUGGCGUGGUCACGACGUUAAAUCAGCUUCUGUUUAUCAAAUCACUUAUUUUAUGAUUCCAGACAUACCCUUUAUAACGUAAAAUGCAAGUGUUUGAUUAUUUUGUAGCAACGUCCUAUUUCGUUAUAAUAAAAUCAAAUUCAUGUCGUAAGAAAUGAUGUAUCAUGUACAAGCUUCUUUUUUUUCUUUUAAUUUUUUUUCUUUCAACAAAAUUAAUUGUUUACGACGAAAUUGCACGUGGCUGCUAUCGAAGGUGGAAAUUAAAUUUAUAAAAAAAAAAAAAAAAGAACCUAAAACUUACUCAUCAAAGAGUCAAGAGGAGUCGUCGUUCUCAAACAAGCCUAACGCUCGGACCGCCCAAGCGGACCCAGCCACGACAACGGCCGCAAAAACCGGAGGGACAAGCAAGUCAAUUUUGGAUCUCCUAAACAGGUGGGCCGGCAGGCAGAGUAUCUCUCCCGGCAGGUCCAACGGAACCCUGACGGCAACGGACGCAUCACCGGCAGCGCCCUCGCACUCUUUCGAAAAUGAAGACGAGGGAGAUAUCGACCACACAAACGUGACCUCAGGCCAAAACGACGCCGCGGCGACGGUUGCGGUCAGGAGAGCCGUCCACGCGGCAGCGUAGAGGAAGAGGGGCCACCGUGAUGUGAUCUUGUGAAACAGGGAAGUAAAGAAAGAUAGAGACAUCGUCAUUUGUUGUCCAAUCCGAAAAAAAACCAAAACGUUAAGGGGGGCGGCUUUAAAUGAAAAAACAAAGGGGAGUGGAAGGGGACCUAAUCUUCAACUACUGGUUGAGUGAUAUAAUAAUGUGGCUUGACUGAUGAGCCGUGGAAUGACGUGAGUGUCGUUGCUCACCUGCUAGUUGCUUCAACGACUCUCUGACCGGUAGCAGGGGGCAUUGGGACACGUGUCGUUUUGUUAACAGUUGGCGUUUCAGAUAGCUGUUAGGGGAGUUACAGCCUACGUGGUAGAUUGCAAAGAGUAAUGAAUCUAAUGAUAAACAGUUAAACACAUUGCAAAACUUUAGCUGGCAUGUAGUAAAUUAAUUUUUUAAAUAAUUUUAAAGUAAAUUAAUCAUAUUAUUCCACCGUACAAUAAAUAUGGAGAGAAAAUUUUAAGAUAUAUACAACAAGUCAGAUUACAAAUUAACUAACAUUUUUAUAUGCAUUAAUUAAUGGACUAAUUAUAAGCAUAUAAAUUUUAUGCUAGAUAAUGUACUACAAAUACAGAACUCUCUCUAAUGAGAUUGUUUCAAUUUUUAUCUUGAUGUCAUUAUCAUUAUUUUAAUGAUUGGUAAAUAUAGCAGCAUGGAAAAAAUAUAGGGCCAAUAUGAGAUAGCGGUGGUUGGUGAAAUAAACUGCUUUUACUGUACGGAUAAAAAAGACAAUUGAUUAAAAAAUUAGUUUAGUAUUUGAUAAACUAUGCUAUUAUGAGUUUAAAAAACAAAGUAUAUGUAUUUGGUAAGUUUUAUUAUAAAAGUGUUGUUUUAUUAUAUAAUAACCAAAAGAAACAUAAAUUUAAAUUGCCUCUUAUUUUUUAGAGUGUGUUUAAUAAAUUGAGUCAAAAUGCCCUUUUUCUUUUUAAAACACAUAAAAUUACAUAAAGUGAAAAACUCAAUUUAAUAAAAUCUAAUGAAUUUCCUAAUUUAUUACAUAAAAUAUAACAAAAUUCAUGCUAAUACAAAAUCAAAAUAAAAUAUAAAGUAACAUGCAUUACGUUCACCCUAAACUUGUCACAAUAAUAAUCCUCAAAUUUUUAAUUUAAUAAGUUCCUUAUGAAAAGCAAUCUCUUAUCUGUUUUUAAAAACGGUUGUCAAAAUAAAGAAAAUUAUAAAAUAAGCAGUCUUUACAAAGUCUAUCAAACACUAUUUUUUAAAAAAAUUAUAAAAUAAACCGUUUAUUGAAUUUUAACCUUAAUCCCAAAUCAGACUUUUUUUUUCUUAAUUACAUAAGACUAUUACUCGAAUUAUGACUCAUAUUAUAUGAGAAUAAUGCUAAUAUAUUUAUAAUUAGACAAUUACUAUUGCUAGUUUUAUAUUAUUAAAUAUUAUAUAGUACUUUUAUAUCUUAACAUUCUCUAAUAUUCGAGAGAUAUUUAUACUAUUCACAUUUCAAAAAAGAAAAAAUUAUUUUCACUCAAUUAUUUUUCAUAAUUGAAGAAAGAAUUAAGCAUUGUGGGGCUCGAACAACUGAAUGACUCUGCCGCACCAUAUAAAUUUUAAGCUCAAUCUCAAAUGGAACUUUAAUCUCAAUGGAAUGACGAUUUAAGAUUUGAAUUGAAGGGUCACAUGUGCAAUUAAUGUUGUUCCUUUUUUCUUUUUUUAAAUGUUAUGCUUGUAACGGUAGCUGCGAUACUAGAACAAUGCAAAAUUCCUCUUUGAAAUGAUACUGAAACACAACCGUUACAAAAAGACUCGUUAGUUCCUUUUCUAAGUUUUCAGAUAUUUUUUUAAUAUUCUGUUUUCCUAAUUCUGAAAAGGAAUUCAGGUGCAGUCCAGCCAGACUUCAGUUGAAACCUCAGGGAUAUUCGGGGGCUUGAAUUUGAUGCCUACAAAAGGAAGAGAUAUUCACAUUGGUGAUUGGAGAAACAGGUUCCAGCUAGCCACUGCAAUUUGAUGAAAGCAUAUUUCCCAUAUGUAUGAUCCAAUCACCAUGGAUUUUCAAGCUGUAAUUUACUUGAUGAAAAUUUUACAGAAACCAGAUUUGUGAUUGAACUGAUUUUACACGCAGAGCCAGAGAUACAAUCAGCGCAGAACUGAUUUUACUUGAUGAAAGUUUAUCACAUGAAUUCUCAUGGCAACAUUGAUUUCAUAAUUUCAUAUUGGCUUGCUAAAUUAUCACGAACUGGGGGAGUAGAAUGCUUUCUCUACCUGAAUGGUAAGAAACAGAAUGCCAACCAAUGCGACACAGAUACCCACAACCAUAACAAUCAGCAUUGCCUGCAAUGAGAUAUAUGGACCGAUAAAGAAGACAACCGCAAUUGAAGCACACUGCCAGACCUUGAGCUGUGCAAAUGCACCUUCCUGUUCCCAGAAGCAAUCUCUCUCAUAAUUAGAUAUUGAAAUCACAAUAACAAGAACUUAUAGGAGAGAUUACAAAUUAAAUAAAAAGAAAACAAUGAACUAAUUUAGGCUUCUUUUACUAAUCAGAAUAAAAAGAAUCAUGUAUAAACUUAACCGUAAUCUGUUAAGUGAGGAUGCCAACCAAUAUAGUAGCUAAUUGGCUAAUUUAUAACACAAAAGAAAAGUCUCUCCUCCAUCUUGCAAGAAUUCUAGACCUAUAUACAAACCACCAUCUAAUACAGUAGGUGGAAUUUUCAUUUUUUUACAUUUUUUUUCCCUUUAUGAUUAGAUAUGGAAAAAUAUGAACCUAAUAGAACAAGAUUUGCCAGGUAAAAUAAAAUAAGCAAGUUUGAUGCAGGAUAUUGCUGAUAUGACUAGUUUCAUCAUUGCCAUUUUAUCCUUGGGUGUUCCUGAAGAAUAUGAGGUAGACUGACUUACUAAAGGGAAAUUCAUAUUCAUAGUCACCUACCAAACAAAUAUUUGUCUAAUUAAAGUAGGAUUAGCUGUUACCGUAUCAUGCUUAAAGAGUAUCCCAAGCAAAGCACUAAGCUGUGUAUUGAGCACUCCAUCACCAAUGCCCAACAAAGCUGCCAUGAUAAGUGGAUAUAGAGUGCCAAGUACUCCACUAGUUACACUAUAGGAAGACAGUGAAUCAAGGAGAUGGAAAAAUAUUAAUACCUUCAAGCUCACACUACUACAAAACAUUCAAUUUCUGAAAAACUUCAAUGUAACAGAAGUACACAACACUAACCUGUAAUUUAUCAGAAUCCAGAGAAAUACAACCACCUGAGCAAUAGCUCCACCAGAAACUAUAAAAGUGAUAGAUGGAAGACCAGUGGUAAGCCGACCAGCAGCGAGUGAACACUGAAAAAAGUGGCGAAACCAAGCAGAGACUGAAUCCAAUUAAUGGAUAUUUAUUUGCCAAAUUGAUCCAAUUAAUGGAUAUUUAUUUGCCAAAUUGACUCAAACAGAAAUGCAAACAGCACUUCAGCAUAAACCUUAAAUUACUAGCAAUAUACAGCCAAUGCAAGUAUGACAAUACUCAGCUUUCCCAAAGACAGAAUCUUGGAACAAUUGCUUCGAGCAUCAAGACCCUAUAUUUUGUGAUUAAAAUAUAUUUUCACCGUGAAUCAAUUGGUUGCAGGUAAAUGUUUGUGAUUGCAAGAGCACUCAAGACAGUGUUCUGAAGAUACGAUGACCAAAACAACAGCAUAUAGCACAGCGCAGGGCAUAAACAAUUGGCAAUGAGAAAAAGAUUCCUUUGGAACACAAAAAUUGCAAAGCUGUUCAUUACAUGAAAUCGUUGAUUUCUGCAGUCUCAUACUUACUAUUGCAUCAAAAGCUCCAUAAACUGCCAUCGCACCACCUACACCAGAAACACCAAGUGCUGGAGUUACGAUCUCCUUUGUAAAUUCAGCCCUACAAAAGAAAACAUAGUGCGCUUAUUGGACAAAUUAAAUUAGAUAAUUGAACUAUAAAGAAUAAAAAUGUUAAUGGAAAGGCAAUACAAAGAACAGAUAUGCAGUUCUACUGAUUAUUACCAUACAAAUGCUUGCUGUAAUCCUGAAUAUGCAAAAAGGGGAAUGAUCAGUAGCAUCCGUACGUCUGCCAGAAGAGUGGUAAUUGACUUCGAUAAAGACACUAAGUACGAAUAGAAAUUUACAGAAGCAUCUGCUGUUUCCUUUUCUCCUUUAUCUUCCUCUUUACGUAAGAAGCACAUAAGUAUAGUGCCCAAUGUGAUAACGCCAAGAAACACAAUGAACAAUAAAGUGGUGCCACUGGUGCUUCCCCCCUGCAGUAUGUAAUAGAAAAUUAAUAGGAAGCAGUUUACAAAGGAAAUAAAUAAGUUGCAAUGGCAGGCUUAAAAAGUUAAUCAUCUAGCAAAUUAUGUGCCAGAAUGUCUGUCUAAAUUAAACAUGUUCCUGAAUCAGUCUUGAUUGAGAAGGUCAGAUCUGUAACAAACAUCACAACUGUACACAUAAUUAUGUUCAAAUUCUAACAUGAAUUUCCUCUAUGUUACUCAGAAUAUAAUCUUCUUAUUGUCCAAAACCAAAAGCUUAACUAGAAGGGCAGCACAUACCUUAUCGUCUUUGAGCACCGCAAGUGUGAUAAGAUUUCCAACAAACUGCCAAAAUUGGGAGGAAAAUGGUAUUCAACAUUGAGAACAGCGACGACAACAUAAAAAUCAUCAAUUAAAGAAAAUGCAUUUUGACUGAAAGAGCACCUGGUGGCUGGCAAACAUUCCCCAAAAUUCUCCAUUGAAGCUGCCAAUCACGGUUCCUUCAUGCAACUUGUGAUUGCUUGCAUGACUGAGUGCAGCGGAAGUGAGAUAUGUUCCCUAAUAGACCAUAACAAAUUUCUAUGACUUUAGUAACUUCAUAGAUAAUUCCCAUUUGAAAAUAUUAUUAAAUAAGAGAAUCCAAAAACAGCAUCCACACCUCUCCAACCCAUAUUAUAGAAGCAGCAAAUCCAAGAUACAACGAUGCCGGCACCAUAGUGUACCUACAGAAAAAAAAUAAAUAAAUAAAGUUUUAAUUUUUUUUUUGGGGGGGGGGGGACUGGGAAGUAAAAGUGAGUGUUUAACUAAACUUAUUAGCUGGUGUGGUUUCAAAGUUAAGCAGAAGCACAACAGUUACGAACAUUGUCCUAAAUAACAUUUUAACUACAACAAAAUUUAAUCAAACGAUUAGGAUUCAUUGCUCAGUAGGGCAGAGGUCAGCUCAGUAUUAGAUCCAAAUUCUAAAUUGAAACAUAGACGUGAGGUGAGUGCACAGUACCACGAAGGGAACAAAUUGGCAGCCACGAAUAGCCAAUACCCAGUAGUCCCAAGGAUCAGAGCGUUCUUGGAACCCAACACUCGAACCACCAAUGAAGCAACUAGAGAGAAACACGUGAACGACGUGUACAAUAUCCCAAGCGAAAUCGUUCCCAAGUUCCCCUCCUGCAACAAAUAAAAAAUCAAUUUGUAAGCUCAAAAACUAGAACGCGUCCAGGGGCAGGGGCAGCUACUCAACGGUAUUAACAGUAGUCUCUAAAUUCUGAGCAGCUCCAUAAGCGAGAAAAAUCAAAAGAAACGCGCAGCUGAGGAUGUGAACAUCACGCGUGUAGUUCUUUGGAGUAAGAACUUGCAAGCUAUCAGCAACAAGAGGUGCUUCUUCAUCGCGAGAAUCUACGGACUCCAUUUUUUUUUCUUUUUUCCCCCCCUUUUUUUUUCGCUUGGAGUUUCGAGAUCAAUCUGAUGGUGAAAUCGCUACAUAAUAUAUACGAGAAGCGAGUGAAGGUAGUACAAACGAGUGGGACCAAAAACACGGCGAGUGCCGGCUAGAAUCUUGUGUACUACAAGACAUGUAAAAGAGUUUUGGUUCAGCUAUAAAAUAAGUUCAUCGGAUUUUUAAAUGUUGUUGUUUUUGAUAUUUGGAAGGAUUAUUUGGGAAUCAAACGGAGGAGGGAGGGACGCUUUGAAAUAAUCGAAGCGUGGAAAGUGUUUUUAAGAGUAACAACCGACGGUUAAGAAAACGACGGCAGAGUGGAUGGUCGUUUUUUUUUAUUUUAAAUGUAAAUAUUUAUAUUAAAAUAAAUUAUGAAUUAUUGUUUCUUUUGGUAGCCAUGAUAUUUUCUUGAAUCUCUUGAUUCUGGAAUCUGAUUUGCCCCUCGUUGAAACCAAGCGCUACGCAAUUGAUUCCUUUGAUAUAUAUAUAUAUUUUUGGUCAUUUUCAAAGAUUUAUGGCCGUUCUAUGAUCAUAUAAUAAUAAUAGUUUAAUUUCCAAGUUCGAAGUUAUUUUAUUUCAUUAUUUGGUGAAGGCCAACCUGACAAUGUUGACCUGAAAUAUAUAUAUAUAUUAUAAUUUUAUUUUAUUAUAUAUAUAUUUAACUAUCAUAAAAUUUUAAUAUAUUUUGUACACCACUUUUAUUUUUAAACUUGUAUCAUUUAACCACUUAACACUAAGAAAUUAAAUAAAAUAAUUAUUUUAUCCUACAUGAAUUAAAAGAUCAUUUUAUCCUACAAAAUUUUUAAAAAUAAAAAAUUAUAAUAACAAGAAUACCUUUAAAUUUAAGAUAAAUAUAAAAAAUUCAUGAUGGUAAUUUUUAUAAUUAUAAUUUUUAAAUGAUAACUUUUGAAAUGAUUUUUUUUAUUAUUCAAAGUUGGUUUAGACUAUUAUUACUUUGGUGAUUAAUUUAAACAAUGAAAAUCGAUUGAUAAUUGUGAUUGUAUGAUUGAUUAAAUAGAAAAAAUAUAUAUUUGAGAUGAGUAUCACGCGUUUUUAAAGUCAAAAGGAUUAAAAAAUAUAUAUUAUCAAUUAAUUAAAUGGUACUCACACACCCAGUUUUUGAAGAUAUUUUAUCAACUAAUUAAAUGGUAGUUAUAAUUUUUUAUUUUCAAAAUUUUAAAGGAUAAAUAUUUUUUAAUUCAUUUAAGAAUAAAAUGAUUAUUUUAUUUAGAUUAUUGGUGUUAAAGUAAUUAAUUGAUACAAGUUUAAAAAUAAAAAUAGUACAAAAAAUGUUAAAAUUUUGUGAUAAUUAAAUAUAUAUAUAUGACAAAAUAGAGGUGGUAUAAAAAUAAUUUUCUAAAUGAAAAAUGUGAAUGAAUAUGAAUGAGUGCAUAUGAUGAGGGUAUCUCCAAUCAAAUUAUGUGGUUACAUUUUUUUUCCCCCAUUUUUUGAAGGGUCAAAUUAGUACAGACAUAAAUUUGACUUUUACUGAAAUAAAAUUUAAUUUAAAAAGAACAUGAUGCCUCCCUGAUUUCAGGAUUUUUUACCUAAUCAAGAAUGGUGAUUUAAAAGCUAUGAUUCAUGGUCAAGCCUGCCAAUUAUAUCAAUAAAUCUAAUAAGCCAAAUAGCCGAUCUUACAUUUCUAGAGAUUGGAAAAUUGACAUCAGUAACAGAAAUUGGAUACAGAAGUAAAUACCGCUCUGAGCUUAAAGCCAGAAAUAUAAACAACACCAACACUACCACGGUGUGCAGGUCAUGCCCCGAGCACCAAUUGAGCAAACUCAAAUUUUUUUUCAUUUCUUUCAUUAUGUCUGCUCUGCAUCAACAUCCCGAGAGUUCUCUUUGAGAAAACGUUCAAUACCAAACUUCAUAUAAGCAACGAGGGAGGAAAAUAUGUGGCUUCUGUCCACUAGUAAGUCAGUCAAUACUAAAAAUAUUUUGAUCUUGACCGGAAAGUUUUUCUGGGCAUCCGACUAUCCAAGAUGUCACCAAAAGUGGCCAAUGCAUCUUGAAACUUCCGGAUUUUGAGAAAUCCCCUUACCAUUGAAGUUUCUCGGUCUGAGAAUUUUGCUUUAUCCAUGACCAUAUCAAUAAGCUCAACCAAAGUUUCCUCCUUCCCUAAAGAAACAAGUCCUUCAGCCAACAUGUAGAAUGAUGAGAACUCUGGGAGAAAUCCUCUCUCUAACAUCUCUAUCACAAAAUCAACGGCUUCUCCAAUUGGUCCUCCACCAUUACAGAGCCCACGGAAAACAUGCUUGUAGGUAAGAGCAUCUGGAGGAUCAGCCUUCUCCAUCAUUUCUCGGAAAAGCCUCAUAGCUUCAGUUGUUCUUUUUCGUCUAAAGAGAGCUUGAAUCACAGGGUUAUAAGCUUGUGGAGUCAAAACAAUUCCUUUCAUCUGAAUUGACCUCAAGAGUUUACUUGCAACCUCAACUCUACCAGCCUUACACAGCCCCCCAAUUAAGGUUCCAUACGUAACAAUAUCUGGUUCACACCCAUUUGAAGUCAUAUUUUGGACAAUAUCUGCAGCCCUUUUUAUGUCGCCCGCCCGACAGUAGUAGGUAAGAAUGGAAUUGUAGGUAAAUUUAUCAGGUUUUAACCCUUCCAUUAUCAUCUGGUCCAUAAGCUGAGCAGCAUCUUCCACCCUCCUGCUCUUACAAAGACCAUCGAUAAGGGUGUUGUAGGUCACAGAAUUUCGUGAAAUCCCUUGGAUUUCCAUCUCAUCAAAGAUCUCCUCUGCUUCUUCAAUUCUUUUGAGUUUGCAAAACCCAUCAAUCAAAGUAUUAUAUGUCACCACAUUCCUUGCGCAGCCACUUGAUUCCAUUUCUUUUAACAGUUUUAGAGCUUCCUCCAGCAUCCCUCUAGAACAAAGGCUGUCUAUCAACAUAUUGUAAGUAAAUUCAUCAGGUUGGCACCCUUUAGUCUUCAUCUCCUGAAACAAUUCCAUUGCUACAUCAAAAUUACUAGUCAAGCAGAGACCUUGUAUCAGGGAAUUGAAUGUACAAACAUCAGGCAAAAUUCCCUUGCUUGUGAGGACACGAGCAAGUUCCGUAGCUUCUUCAACUUGGUUCUCCUUGCACAAGGUGCUAAUCAGAGUAUUAUAAGUAAUGGUAUUAGGCGAACAAUCCCUCAAAAUCAUCUGAUUGAGAAUCUCCACAGCCUCCUCAACUUCACCCAAUUUACACAAUCCAGAAAUCAAAGAAUUAUAUGUAAAAACAUCAGGAUCAAGCCCCUCUUGAAGCAUCAUGUCCAUGACCUCCAACGCUUGCUUGACAUGUCCCACUUUGCACAAACCAUUCACCAAAGUAUUGUACGUAAACUGAUCAGGAUUAAAUCCUUCACUCACCAUCUCUUGUAUAAAACUUAAUGCAUCCUCAAUCCUUCCCUUUUUACAAAACCCAUGAACUAAAACAUUAACAGUCACAUUAGUAACCAGGCAUCCGUGCUCCACCAUUUGCUCUCUAAUCCUCAACGCACCAUCCAAGUUACCUUCCUCAAUCAACCCUUGCAUUAACGUCGUAAACGUUCUCUCAUCUGGUGCCAAACCAUAGCCAGGCAUCUCUUCCAUCAUCAAAAUAGCAGGCCUAAUUUGAUGAGCCUUACAUAAAGCCUUAAUCAAUAUAUUAAACGUAGAAACAUCAGGCUUAAUCCCUCUACUAACCAUAUCAGCAUGAGCAGUUUCAACUAAUUUUAACUUAUUCCCAUCAACAAGAACAUUCAACAAGUGAUUAUAAAAGUGGGUGUUGGGUUCCAAUCCAAAAUCGUCCUUCAUCAACUGGGUUACUUCUAAAAUCUCAUCGUACAUGUCAAAUUUAGCAUAACUUUCUACGAAAAUCAAGAAAGUACCUGUACGAAUUUGACAGCCGGAGAGUUUCAUAUCUUCUAAAAUGCGUCUCAUGGAAUCAAAAGCGCCGACCUUUCCGAGUUUGGUCAGUAGUUCUUCGUAGAGAGAGGAAUUGGGUGCGAAAUUGGGCUGCUUAGAGGCCCAAGUGAACAAGCGGAGUGCUGAGGACUCGUCGCGUUGGCGACGGAGAGCGUCGAGGAGUUGAGUAGAAGUGAAAUUGGAAGGGAGUUGACGAGAGAAAGUGGAAGAUGAAGAUGAUUGUGAGGUGAGUUGCCGAUGGUCGUGGUGUUGUGUGGAGGCAAAAGAAAUGGUGGUGGGUUUGGAAGAGAAAGGGAGGAAGGGUUGUCGUGGGAGAGGCCAAGGGUGACUCUUGAGACACGAAGAGAAUGACAUUUCGGGGGAUUUGACGGAGAUUGAACAUGAAAAUUUGGAAAAGAAAGUUUCUUUCUUUCAGGAAUGAGCUAGUGAGCUGCAGCUGGAGUGAAAAGAACUGGAUUUUCCUUCUUUUUUUCUUUUUUCUUUUUUCUUUUUUUUUGGUUCCCUUCAAGGUCGUACGUUUCCGGGCGUUUUUCUGCCAAUUGCAUAAACCAAUCCUGAAUCCUUAACUAGGGUGGGCAAACCCAAUCCAAUCCAAUUGAUUCAACCCAAUUUAACCCAAUUUAAUUUAAUUUUGACGGAUUGAGUAAAUUAUUAUAGAUUAAUUAGGUCAAUUUUUUUAAACUCAAUCAACAAUUAAGUUAGGUUGAAUCAAUUAUGAUGAACUCAUGUAACCAAACCCAACCCACAUAAAUAAUAAUAAGAAGAAGAAUAAGAUAAUUUUUAAUUACAAAAUCUUAAAAAUUGAAACAGUUAAUCUAUACUUUUAUCAUUUUUUUAUUUUUUUUUUUAUAAAAGAGAUUAUUUUGUUCUUGUAUUUCCUGACUCUAAUUCUAAAACUAAAAUCACUCUCUCAAAUCUAGGGAUGGCAAUGGGGUGGGGUGGGGGUGGAGAGGCCUACCUCAUUCCCCCACCCCGUUAGAAAUUUUUACCUCCAUUUCCCACCCCAUUCCUCAAUAAAUUUAGUGGGGUGGGGAUAGAGAAUCCCCAUGUGGGGAAUGAUUUCCCCAUCCCCACUCCAUUCCCCAUUUAUCUAUUUUAUAAUAUGUAUAAAUAUAUUAUUUUAGUAAGUUAAAAAUUAGAGACUUAAAAUAAAAUUAUCAUCAUAUUAUAAAAUAUUUAAAUUCUUUUAAAAAAAUAUCUAAAAAUUUGAAACAAUAUCUUAAAAUGAUAUUAAAAGUGAAAAAUAUUUAAAGAGCGUAGCACCUUAAAAGAGAAAAGAAAAUAUAACAAUGUUUCAGAGUUGAAAAAUAUUAUAGGAUUUUCUUUCAUUCAUAUCUUGUUUAUAUUGCAUAAAAAUUAAAAAAAAAUUAUUAAUUGACAUUAUAAUUGAUAAAAUAAAAAUUAUUAAAUAAGAAUUAAAAACAUAUUUAUAUAUAAUGGGGAUUGGGGUGGGGAGUACAAAACCAAACCCAACCCCAUUAAGAAUUUGGGAAUUAUUUUCCCCCACUCCCCACCCCAUUCCCCCAAAAAUUAUUCAAAAUUUUCCCCAUUUUGGGUGGGGCUCCAUAGGGCCCCAAACUCGUGGAAAAUUUUGCCAUCCCUACUCAAAUCUCAAUUCUCAAUCAAUUAAGAUACUUUUCGAUUUUGUUCAUUCUAUAUUCUUUUAAUUUUCUUUAUCAAAUAUUAGAUAGUGAAUAGAAUUUUCAUAAUAUAAUAUUUUUAUAUUAGAUUUCAAUAAGUUUUAUUUCAACUUUCAUAUAUUUUUAAUAUUAAUUUGACUUCAAAUCUUCAACCCAACCCAACCCAAUCCGUAAAUUAUCGGGGUUAGGUUGAACAUAUUUAGGGGUGGGCAAAAAAAGCUGAUUAAUCAAAAAUCGAAUCGAACCGUUCGGUUCGGUUCGAUUUCUUUACAGUUUUUUUACAUCUAAAAAACCAAAAUAGUAAUUUAGUAUAGUAGUAAAAUCAGUCGGUUCGGUUUUUAAUUUUUAAAAAAAAACUGAAAAACCGAACCGAUCACAAGAAAAAACCGAACGCAAAUUGAUUUUUACACAAUCCCUAAUCUAACACAUUCUUGAUUCUUCUCAUCUUCUGAUCUUCACAGACUUCACUCUUCAAAAGUGUCGUCCCCGCUGCUGCUGCUGCUCAUCCUUCACGAACCUUCACCGCUGGAAUCUCGUCCCCGCUGUAGCUGCUGCUGCUGCUGCUCAUCCUUCACGAAUCUGAUUUGCCACCGCUGCUCAUCGCCGACUCUCGUCCCCGCUGCCACUGUCACCUACUAUCAACUGUUGGUGCUGUCACGGUGCUCCCCUGCUGCCAUCUGACUGCUGUUGUGAGCUGCUGCUGGUAACUGCUGUUUUUGCAGAGUUAUUUGACUUGGUAAAUGGUAUAAUAUAAUCUGUGCUAGUUAUGAUUGCAUAUUAACAAAGUUAUUAAUGCUUGAUCAAUUGCGCAAAGUUUCGCAUAAUAAUAAUUAAUUCAUUAAUUAUUUGAUUUUAUUAAGCCAUUCAAUUGCCACGUGUAUUAUUGUUGAUGCUUCCUGGAUGCCCUGAAUCCUGAUGCAUGCACUUGUUCUUAACCAUUAUUUCAAGGAGCUGGCUAAGUUACGGAUUCUGUAACAUACAGAUCCAACUUAGCCAGCUCCUGAUUGGUUAGCUAGCUACCAAACAAAAACAAUUGCAUGCUUUUUCUCCAUAUGCAGAACAGGUGUGGUGCAUGCAUUGGGUGCGUAUGUUACAGAAUCUGUAAGGUAGACAUGUCCUUAUUUCAAUUGUUAUUUUUUAAAAUUUGAUACUGUACAAGUAAUUGUUCUGGCGGUGGUUAUCUUUAAAGGUGGAUGAGUCAUGAGUUUGCUUUUUUAUUUUUGUUGGUAAUUAAUUAUAAUUUAAUUUAACUCCAGUCGUAACAUCCAUGAAACUACCCAUCCAUUAUGUAACAACAUCACAAUAAUCAAGAUCCCUGUAUAACAAACAUCUCCAUUAACCCUUAAUUAUUGUGAGAUGUCAUUAGCAUAUAUAUUGAUUUUUUAUUUGUUAACUUUUUUAUGUUUGUGGUAGAUUUAUUAAUUUAAGGUUUUAAAUUUUAAAAAAACCCAAAAUAGGCUCAAUAGACCCAUAAUCAAAAUAACCGAACCGAAUCGAAUCGAAUUAUUUCAAUUAAUCGAGUAUUUGAUUAUUUCGGUAAUUUGAUUAAUCGCGAUUAUGAUUUUAAAAUAAUCAUAAUUGAACGAUUAUAAAAAAUUUAGUAAAAAACCGAACCGAACCGAACCGCGCCCACCCCUAAACAUAUUUAUUUAAUUAGGUUAAGUUUAAUUUAUCUCAACUCAUUCAAUAAUGGGUUGGGUAGUUUUCACAAACCCAAUCCAAUCUAACCCAACACAUGCCCACCCCUACCUUAACUUAGGCGGUGGAGGAGAUGCCAACGACGUCGUAAGCAGUGUUUUAAAAGCCUACCAACCAAAACGCUUCGUUGGUUUUCAGGGAUGGUUGAAUUAUUUUGGACCGUUUAAUCUUUUGGGCCCAAAAUUUGGGUCCAACUAACCCUGGCAUCCACUGUGAGUUAUUGGGCCCUUAUCCAACCCAAUGUUAAACAUUUUCACAUCUUCUUGAGGUUCCCCCCAGUCAAAUUGAGUCACACCAUGUGUCCCUGUUUAAAAUUAUGGUACAGUAGAAUUUUAAUAAAUUAAUACUCAAUAAAUCGAUAAUCUCGAUAUAAAUAAUAAUUUUAUCAAUCCCAAACCAAUGUGGUAAUUAAUAAUUUGAUAAAUUUAUUAUAUAAUAAAUUUUUUAAAAAAAAUUAUUUUUCUAUAAGACCCAACUAAUAUAAAAAUUAAUAAUGAAUUAAUUUAAAAAUAAAUACGUAUGAUAUGUUUAUGAUUUCUUUGUUAUAAUGACAUAAUGCUUUAAAUAUUUCAUUGGUUAUUGUUAUAUUCUAUGUGCUACAUUGGUUAUUGUUGUAUUCUAUAUGACAUGUUAAGAAAAAUAAGAGAGAGAUUAGUUAAUAUGUCACCUCCAAGUAGUCUUCUCUGAUGAGUUACUGAAUAAUUGCUAUCCAGCCAUGCAAUCUAGCGAAAAGAAUACCAUAUUAUUGAUUCUUUCAAUUAAGAUCAAAUCAAAGUCAUAUCAUAUAGUUUGAUAGAAUCACUGUAUUAUUUAAUUAUACUAUCAUACUUGAUAAAAGCUUAGAUUAUGAGCCUGAAUUUAUCUUUAAAUAUUAAAAUAUUAUUAAUUUAUCGAUAUAUUAAUAUUUACUAAAUUAACAAAAUUUUCAUGGUCUUAAGACUAUCAAUUUACGAGGUUAUAGUGUAUUUAUACUUUUCUCAUAUCAUAUCCCACAAAAUCUAAAAAAAGUAUCUUAAGAUUAAUUGUAGAAAUCGCACUAAAUUAUUUAUUAAUCACAUCAGUUGUCACAUAAAUUGAAAUUCAAGAGUUUGGACUCCGCAUAAGAGUUAAGACUUAAAUACUGAGACCCUAACAUAUUACUGGAAUGAAUUCUUAUCGAUAGACAUAUGAGUCAACAUAAUCUUAUCAAAUAGACAACUAGAAUGUUGAGGAAACGAAGUACAUAGAAAUCGAAAUGCGUAGUUAUAAUUAAUUAAACAGCCAUAACUUAGGGAACCAGCGAAUGUGUUGGAAGGCCGCGGGAGAUUAACAAAAGUUCGCUUCCUACACCGUGCUAGAAUAAACAUAGUCCUUUCCUUUUCCAAUGCACCAAACAUUAAGCAGUUAGCAAACGCUGCAUUGAAAGUGCAUAUACUUGUAUUUACUUGUAAAAGUUUUGCUCUUAUCAAUAACACCUAGAUUGCAUUGUGCACAUGAUACUCCCGUCUGUAAAUUAGCUGUAACGAAUUGGGACGAACUUAUGAGCCUUCAGCACUAGAAAAAGUUUAGAAUAUAUAAAAAAUACCUUGCUGAUAACUCUAUGAAAUGAGAGUUAUCAUGACACUAUUAGACUUAAAUCAAGAUUACUUAGAGAGUAAAUGAUAUUUUUUUAAUUGCAUUUUAGUUAUAUUUUGCAUGAAUAUCCAUUUUAGUUUAUUUUUAAUAAAUUGCAUUGUUUUAUAAUAAUUUGUGUGCCUAGAUCGUAUGCAUAAUUGUAGGUGAUCGGAAGCUCAAAUUUCAAGGGAGAAAUGCUGCUGCAAUAGGCUUGCAAAAAUAAGGAAAGAACAUGAUUAUAGAAGAAUUGAAAUAAGUAUGAAACAGUGCAUGUGCUAAAGCCAUUACUAUAGCAUUGUUGUUGUAGUAAUUCUGGACCAUUGAUAGAGAAGAUUUCACACAAGAUACUUAGAAGAUUGCGAUAUGAAGUUUCUUAAAAUGGAAGAUAUGUGCCCUAGACUUUUACUUGCCCUAAUUUUAAGAUAUAAAAGAGCACACACUCAAAGAAAAGAAGAAAGUCGUCACCCAAGGAGAAAAACCGCAAAAAAAACAAAAGAAAAACAGAAUUCAAGAGAGAGAUUAAAUGCUGCACCAGAGGAGAAAACACAGAGAUCCAUUGAAAAUCAGUCAUUCUUGUUAUUUUCUUGUUUUUAUUUAUUCAUGGGGAUGUAUUUAGUGGCCAAAAUUCUUUUAUUUAUUUUUCUUUCGCAAAUCAUGAAAUAAAUUUGAUUGUAGUUGAGUUAUAAAUGAUCUUAAUGGAUGUUUGACUGACAUAUUCGUGGUGCUUUGUAUUUGCUGCAGCAAUUUGUGUUAAUUGUAUUUAUUUUCUACAUCAUGUUGCUUUGCUGCUCAUUGCGGCGGUUGCUGUAAUUUAAAAUUGAAAUAAGGUUAUCAAUAGCAUUAAAUACCCACCACAUGAUUGAUGAUUUUCACCAUAAUUGGUAACCAAUAAUGAUUUUUGUAAUAGUAGUAUGGUACCCACUAGGGAUAGCAAUAAAAUUUGGAUCCAGCUUGCAUCCGCAAGGAUCCGAAAGAUCCGAAUCAGGAAAAAUUCGGAUCCGCAUGUUAAAAAAUGCGGAUCCAGAUGUAAGAAAUUAAAAUCUGUAUGGGUCCGGAUCCGGAUACAAGUGCAUCCGGAAAGCCGGAUAUCCAGAUCCGGUUAGUUUUUAUAUUAAAUUAAAAAAUAUAUAUUAACUUAACUUAAAAACAAAUUUAACCUAACUCUCACAUUCACACACACGCUCACAACACUUUACCAGCAGCCACAACCCACAAAUCCCUAACACCCAAAUCCCCCCCAAUUCCGUAGGAUGUUGCUAUUUGUCUCAUGGCCUCGCCUAAUCCUCGUGUCCAAGCCUCGAUCUGAGUCGGUUGCUGCCGCUGCACGCUGUUGUGCAAAUUUUAAUGUACUCGCAAGCGCACGAAUCUAUUGUAGUGUAGAUCAAUGGUGACGAGUGUCGAUCCCACGAGGAGGUGGAUUUUAAUUAUGUGUAGAAUUAAUUCUGUAAAUAGGUGGUUGGAAUUGUGGUGGAAGUGAUUUAAGUUAUCCUAAAAUUGGAAUUGAAAUUGCGAUAAUAAAUUCUAAAAUUGGAAUUGCAAUGGCGAGAAUAAGUUGAAGCGAAAUCUAUUGAAAUGACGUACUUGGGUAUCUGGAUCCGUAUCAACAUGCAUCAUGGGCUAAAUAAUUCGUAUUAAUGCCAAUUAAAUCAUGAGGGGGGAAUCCACACCUCAUGAACCACGCUCUAAUCAAUAUGGUGCUAAGGGCUUAUCGUGCCAAAUAAUAAUAACCUUAUACUAGAGAGCCGGUGUAACCAAGGCGGUAUCUAGACAAGAUCAGUAUUAUUUGUCGACGAUAAGUCAAAUCAUCCACAAAAACUAGAGGGGAAAAGAAAAUAAAUUUACCAAAUAAAGCCCAUGACACAUGUUGAGACUUCACCUUCAACCCAAGCUUGAAAAGAAAUUAGCUACUCAUAAUUGAACUAGGGGCAAAAUGGGAAUUUAUUAAAAUACAAAGAAAAUACAAGAUGGAGAGGGAAUUACAGAAAAUGGAUCCCAAAAAUGGAUUCAGAGAUAUCAAAUUAGGGGGGAGAGGCCCCCUUUUUAUAGAUACAUGGAGUAAAUCAUGGCCAUCGGAUUAAAAACAGUUUGGACGCUCAGGAUUGCGCCACGUCAUCAGUCAACAGUCCACGGUUUGACCACGCGGAUGAACAGUAACACGGUUUGACCCGGAUGAACAGUAACGCGGUUUGGUUGACAAUAAUCCUGUGUGAUGCAUGCACCGUACGCGAGAUUUUUCGUCCACUGAUAUGCUGCCACGUCACCAUCAACAGUACAUAAGAAUUUUAGUCCAACAGGAUCGUGACACCUCAUUAGUCAAUGCCACAUCAUCGGUCAAUGCCACGUCAUCGAUCAAUGCCACGUCAUCGAUCCGUCUAUGUGAACAGUGUCGUGAACAGUAACGUGAACAGUACCGUAUACGUGAAUAGUGCCAUUUUUCCUUUUAUGCUCCUCCUAAGGUUUUCGAUCGUCCUGAGUUCAAAAGUGAUGUCCGUUUUGCCGUCUGAUCUCUCCUUUAUUGUGAAAUGACUAUAAUGCCCCUAAAAUACAUAAAAUACUUAAUUAAAAUAACACACACGUAAUUACAUCACAAGAAGGUUAAAUACAUAAAAGUAAGGGUUGUUAGUAAGACUUGAAAUGUAAAAUGACGGUUUUCUCCUUUAUAAAUAUGCAUUUUCUAACACUCAACACACCCCCCAACCAGCUUAUUGCUAGUCCCUAGCAAAUAAAGCGAAAACAAAAUUCAAAUUCAAAAUGAUUUUUUUUUUUUUUUUUUUUAGAAACACUCGUGUUUAUUCAAUCAGAUUAAUGAUAGCAAUCAAAUAAAAGUAUAAGCAUUAUCUCCAGUCUAAAGCAAUAUCACACCCACAUCAACCAUCCACAUGAAUCGGCCCAGUAGACUUUGUUAUAGCUACUUUCAAGAAUGACAUGUCAAACCCCAAAAUCUCACUGGAAGUAGUGACACUCUCACAAAGAAAUUAAACCCAAAAAAUAGUCACUCCAAUGAAUGGUAAUUGAGAGAAAAUAAUGAAAAAGUGAUAUCACAUGCUCUCACCAAGAUGAAAUAAAUAUGCCAUCAGCUUAGAAAUAAUACAAUCUCAAGUCAAAUAAAAAAAUGUUAGUCAACCCACUUUAUUUAUCUUUUUUUUUUUUUUUAUAUAUUAUGCAUCACUACAUCUUUUUAGCCCAUAUAACUAGCUUCUACUUCAAACUAUAGUUCCCGAAAAUCAAGAAGGACUUUUAUUAGAACGUAACGUAGGCUAGGGAUAUGGCUAACAAAGAAAGGAAAUAAGGAAAACAAAGUGUAUGUUUGAGAAAAAUGCAGAAUUUUUUUUUUUUUUUUUUUUUUUUUUUUUGGAACUUGCAAGGUGGAUUUCACCUAUUAUUGUUAUUUUUAUUCUUUUGAAACAACAACUUUUGUUUUUUUUUUUUCUUUUUGCUUUUAUUUGGCAUAACUUCACUGAACAACAUAAUUAUUUACAUUUUCUCAAACAUAAAUAGGUGAUGGAACUUAAAAGACAUUGGGUAAUACUCAAAAUCGGAGUGGGUCAAGAUGAUAAGUUGACAAAGAAAAGGUUUUUUUUUUUUUUUUUUUUUUUUUUUUUUUUUUUUUAAAGGCUCAAAAGGGGUAACUAUGGAUAUUUAAUAAAAGGGAUGGCUAGAAAGGCUCAAACGGAUCAAAGAUGGCCUUUCCAUCGUCUUUUAGGGCUCUAAAUAAUUAUCCAUAUCUACUAGUUAGAUGGGCCUCCCAAUGUAGCAACACACAUUUUUUUCUUUUUUCUUUUUUUUUUCUUUUUUCUUUUUUUAAUUUUACCAUAUUUUUUUUUAAAGGGUUAACUUAAAAGAAAUCUAGAGAUCGUGUAUAAAAUAAUAAACUGCUAAGCUGUAUAGAGAAUGGGCAAAAGGGUUACUCUCCAAGAAAAUGAUAGGCCCAACAACUCACUUGGCACUUAUUUAUGACAUGUUCAUUCCUUCAAGCAACUCAUAUUUGUCUCCGACAUCAACAUGUAAAGUAGCAAACAUAGCGUAACAUCACUUAAGACCAAAGAUAAUACAAAUACUAAAAUUUGAAAUUAAUCAUGUCAUCCAAUGUUAAAACAAAUAACACAAAUUUUUUUUUUUUUUUUAAACAACAUUCUACCCCCCAACCUAUUCUAAACAUGAAAGGAAAAUAUGCAUGCAGAAAUGUGAAAAUGAUGUAGAAAAAUUAAUUAGAAAAAGAAUUAUUUUUUUUUUUAAAACUAAAAAGAUGCGUUUCUAGAGGCACUACACUCCAUAUUCAGCCAUCUUCGACUCAAAAUUUGAAACUACAUAUUUAUAAAGGAGAAAGAGGAAGAAAACAUGUUUUUUUUUUUUUUUUUUUUUUUUUUAAACGAUGAAGAUGCGUUUCUAGAGUAACUACACUCCAUAUUCAGCCAUCUUCAACAUAAAAUGUUAGCAACAGUUAGUUUCUACAACAAAAAAUUAGUAAAAACUUAACCAAGAUUCCACAAUUGUCGACUAUUCCCUCCCCCCAACCAGAACGAAACAUUGUCCUCAAUGUUUUAAAGGAAAGAAGUAGAGUUUAGAAGACAUCACCUGGGUGGUGCAACACAGAAGAAAAUAUUUACAGGCGGAGAGUUAAAUCUAAUUUGUACUUCUUACUGCGGCUACUGUUACCAUCAUUAUUUGGUCGCUCCAACACAAAGGUCCAGGGGUCUGGCUCCGGUUUAUAAGCUUGUAACAUAUCAAGUAGCUCAUUAGCAGUGUGAGCACAAAUGAAGAGUUUUUUCACAUUAGAAGGAAUGAAAUAGUUUUUUAUUGCAUGGUUAAGAAAUGCGAUAAAGCCAUCAUAAAAGUUAUUGACAUUUAACAAACCGAUGGGUUUCUGGUGGAUGUGCAGAUGGGCCCAAGAUGCUAGUGUCAUAAGUGCCUCUAGUGUUGCAAGAUCUCCUGGAAGGAAAAUAAAAGCAUCAGCAUGAUUAAGCAUUUCAGUUAUUCUUUCUUGCAUACCUGAGACGACUAACUCUUCUCCAGUUGAUGAGUCAGACGAACCGCCCAAUGGUUUUAGGACUCUUGGGAUGAUGCCUAACACUUGACUUCCUCUGAUAAAAGCUGCUUCUGAGACCAUUUUUGAUAACCCUCGGUUACCUCCUCCAUACACCAAGUGUAAUUUUCUCUCUGCUAUGCUUCGACCAAGAUCUAUGGCUGCCUCAACGAACUCUUUAUGUUUGCCAUAGGUAAAUCCAGAAAGCACACAAAUGUUCUUGAAUUGUCUAUUUGGAGUAGCUGUCAUUGUGAUACUUCUCAAAAAAAAUAAUUUGUGAGUGCUUGACAAAAGAUAUCACAUUUAAGAGUCUUGGUGAUAGUGGGUCAUGGUUGUGUAUGAGGUAAUGUGUCAGUGUCAAAUAACGCGUAAAGCACGUGGCUCGCAAGUCAAAAAGAAAACAGUAAAAAAAGGAAAAAGCCAACAGUAAUAAAAUUAUUAAAGACAAUAAUGCAAAAAUAAGACAAUAGUGAAAUAAAAUAACAAUAAAGUAAAAGGAUAUUUACAGGUAGUUGCGACUGUGGCUCACAUCUUCCUCUGGUUUUACGUCCAGAAACGGCUUGAACGCCCUCUAUGGGUCGAGGAUCGGCUUCCCAUCCAGUUUUCUUAUAAACUGACAAACAGGGUCGUUUAUAGUCAGAUUCCCGAGACUAUAUCGUGUAUGCUCUUUCUGGAAUAAUGGCCACAACUGGAGAAUCGCUCCUUGCACAUAUCCACUGGGAUGCGUUUCAAGAGACAAAAGAAUAUCAUCCAAUGACUCCUUAUUCAAGCCAUCCCUAAUGAAUUGAAUCUUAUCUUCCCUGUUAUCAGACACCAUUCCUAAAGAACAUAGGUUUCUAUCGCAACUCAUUCUGGCACACUUAUGACAAGCAACAGAAAUUCUUCGAGCUCGUCGUUUUCUUGCAUAAUUUCCUUUACCACAACCAGGCAUGAAUGCAAUAAAUUUUGGAGGUAACUCACCUGCCGAUCGUACUUUAGCCUCGAUUAACCAACGGAUGUCAGCAGGUAUGUUAUUCUUCAUGAGCAAUCGCAUGCGUUCGGACCGGGCUUUAUAGAUUGUAAGGAGGGCAUUCUGAGGAAGUGAAGGGAAUCGCUUGUGAAGCUUUGCUAAAAUCUCGUUUCUAUCCAUACCUUCGCCUCAGAAUAUCAGUUAUUAUGGGAAACUGAAGUUAACCGACUUGAUUGUCACGGAGUACCGUUAUCCGCCACUUCACCGGGGUAACAAACUAAAGCACACAAACAGAAAAACAAAUUAAAACACACAAAGAAAAUUAAAAUCGUCCUCUUAUUGAAUUUACCUCAAGCUCCAACUGGAUGUCGUAAACACUUCUCUCAAUGUCUCUGAGUUGGCGUUCUAAACCCUCAACAUAGGCUACUAACUCUGGUGGUUGUAGAGCCCAAAUGCGUUGUGUUUUACAAAAUAGAAUCUGCCUUUUGAGAUGAGUUUUGACACGUUGAAGUGGUUUAAGAAUGUUCAGGAGGAACGGUCUAAGUAUGAGACUCAUGAUUAAAAAUGAUAAGAGAAAACUUAAUUGUUAAACAAACACACUUAUGCAAAAAUAAUUUCAAAUAGCAAAAGAAUAAUAAAAAGAAAGAAAGAAAAAUCAAAUCAAUAAAAAGAGAAAAAAAAAAUUAAUUCAAAUCUGGUGGGUCACUCAAAUUUAUUUCGGUGUCUUCUUCAUGUGGUUGGUACUCUAGAUAUGGCUUUAAUCUUUGACCAUUAACUUUAAACGUGACACCGUUCUUUGGGUCUUUAAUUUCAAUUGCCCCAUGUGGAAAAACAGUAUGAACAAUAAAGGGACCAGACCAUCGAGAGCGUAACUUACCUGGGAAUAAGUGCAAGCGAGAAUUGAAUAAAAGUACUUUCUGACCUGGAGUGAAAGAUUUUCUCAUAACGUGCUUGUCGUGGAAGACUUUCAUCCGCUGCUUGUAAAUUUUGGCAUUUUCAUAUGCAUCAUUGCGAAUUUCUUCAAGUUCUGCCAGUUGUAAUCUUCUCUCUGAGCUGGCUUGCUGCAUGUCAAAGUUGAAUUUCUUGAUGGCCCAAUAUGCACGAUGCUCGAGUUCCACAGGUAGGUGGCAAGCUUUUCCAUACACUAGCCUGUAGGGUGACAUCCCAAUCGGGGUCUUGAAAGCCGUUCUAUAUGCCCAUAAUGCAUCAUCAAGUCGUAAUGACCAAUCUUUCCUGUCUGGCCUCACCGUUUUUUCUAAUAUGUGCUUGAUUUCUCGAUUGGAGAUCUCAACUUGGCCACUGGUUUGCGGAUGAUACGGGGUCGCCACUUUGUGUGUGAUUGAAUACUUUGUCAAAAGAGCUUUGAAUGCUUUGUUACAAAAGUGGGCACCACCAUCACUGAUUAUCGCUCGAGGGAAUCCAAAGCGUGAAACAAUAUUGCUUUUCAAAAAUCCUAUCACCACCUUGUGAUCAUUGGUUCUACAUGGAAUUGCUUCUACCCAUUUUGAGACGUAGUCAACAGCAACCAAUAUGAAUUGAUGGCCAAAAGAAGGGGGAAAGGGUCCCAUGAAGUCGAUACCCCAUACGUCAAAAAUCUCAACCACUAAAAUUGGAUUUAGUGGCAUCAUGUUCCUUCGUGUAAUGCUCCCCAUUCGUUGACACCUAUCACAUGAAGAACAGAAAGUGUAAGCGUCUCGAAAUAUAGUUGGCCAAUAGAAACCACAUUGUAAAACUUUAGUCGCUGUUUUCUUAGCACUGAAAUGGCCUCCACAAGCUUGUUCAUGGCAGAAUGAAAGAAUAUUCUGAAUUUCAUUUUCAGGGACACAUCGUCUAACAAUUUGGUCUGCACAAUACUUGAACAAAUAUGGGUCAUCCCAAAAGAAAUUCUUUAUUUCCGCAAAGAAUUUAGCCUUGUCUUGCUUGGUCCAAUGCUCUGGAAGUUUACCUGUAACAAGAUAAUUAACUAUAUCAGCAUACCAAGGUAAUACUUCCACAUGCAUCAAUUGUUCAUCUGGGAAUGACUCAUUUAAUAUUAAUGGCUCUGUAAUUGUGUCAAAAUGGAGACGAGAGAGGUGGUCCGCCACAACAUUUUCUGUGCCUUUCUUAUCCUUGAAUUCCAAGUCGAAUUCCUGCAAAAGUAACACCCAACGAAUUAGUCUAGCUUUUGCAUCUUUCUUUGUGAGAAGAUAUUUAAGAGCAGCAUGAUCUGUGAAUAUAAUUAUUUUACAACCAAUGAGAUAAGAUCGAAAUUUUUCCAAUGCAAACACUACUGCUAGCAUUUCUUUUUCAGUAGUUGAAUAGUUCAACUGUGCAUCAUUUAAUGUCAUACUAGCAUAGUAAAUAACAUGGGGAAUUCGAUCAACUCUUUGUCCUAAUACUGCUCCUACGGCAUAAUCAGAUGCAUCACACAUGAGCUCAAAUGGUAAGCUCCAGUUUGGGGCCUGAAUGAUGGGUGAUGAUGUCAACAACUGCUUUAAUUUUUCAAACGCCAUGAGACAUGAAUCAUUAAAGAUAAAAGGUACAUCCUUAGCAAGUAAAUUGCAUAAGGGUCUAGAAACUUUGCUAAAAUCUUUAAUGAAACAUCUAUAAAAACCAGCAUGUCCAAGGAAAGAUCUUACUUCUCUGACUGUUUUAGGUGGAGGAAGAUUAGAAAUGAGAUCCACCUUGGCUUUGUCAACCUCAAUACCUUUGCUCGAAAUGAUAUGACCGAGAACAAUACCUUGUUUUACCAUAAAAUGACACUUCUCCCAAUUCAAGACUAAGUUCUUCUCGGUACAUCUCUGCAGAACUAGCGUUAGAUGAUGUAAACAUUGAUCAAACGAGUCACCAAAGACAGAAAAGUCAUCCAUAAAGACUUCAAGGAAUCGUUCAACCAUAUCAGAAAAAAUGCUCAACAUGCAUCGUUGAAAUGUAGCAGGUGCAUUACAUAAUCCAAAUGGCAUUCUCCUAUAUGCAAAUGUGCCAAAAGGGCAAGUGAAAGUGGUCUUCUCUUGAUCUUUUGGUGCUAUGGGAAUCUGAUUAUAUCCUGAGUAGCCAUCUAGAAAGCAAUAAAAUUCGUGGCCUGCUAAUCUAUCAAGCAUUUGAUCGAUAAAUGGUAAAGGAAAAUGGUCUUUACGUGUGACAGAAUUCAACUUUCUAUAAUCAAUGCAUACACGCCAUCCUGUAGUUACUCUAGUUGGUAUCAAUUCAUUAUCAGCAUUGGUAACUACUGUGACUCCUGACUUUUUGGGGACAACUUGUACAGGACUGACUCAUGAACUAUCAGAAAUUGGGUAAAUAAUACCUGCGUCUAAUAGCUUAAGGACUUCUGUUCUAACAACUUCUUUCAUAUUAGGAUUUAACCGACGUUGCAUUUCCCUAGUAGUUUUAGCAUUUUCAUCAAGGUGAAUGUAAUGCAUGCAGUCUACUGGGUUUAUACCUUUAAUAUCUGCUAUGGUCCAUCCUAAUGCUCCUUUGUGCUCUUUUAAAACAUCCAACAACUUACCUUUUUGUUCGUCGUUUAGGGAUGAUGAGAUGAUUACCGGUAGAGUGCUUUCUUCUCCCAAAAACGCAUAUUCCAAUGUGUUGGGUAAUGGUUUGAGCUCGAGUUUCGGUGGUGAUUCUGAUGAUGGAAUGAGUUUCUUCUCUGAUGGUGCUAGUUGUUCAACUCUUGACUUCCAUUUAUUAGUGUCCAUGGAUGGUGCUGAGUCAAGUAGGGCGUUGACCUCUUCGACCGAUCUGUCAAUAUCAAAAUCCAAACCAAAGUGAGUUAAACAUGUUUGUAAAGGAUCAUCACUAAGGUUUGAAAGAAAAGUAUUAUCAACUAUUGUUUCUAUUAAAUCCACAUCAACAAUUCCAUCAUCUGCACUGUGAGGUUGUUUGGCAAUGUUGAAGAUGUUUAGCUCCAUAGUCAUGUUGCCAAAGGACAACUGCAUAUUUCCAGUCCUGCAUUGAAUGUGAGCAUCCGCAGUUGCCAAGAAAGGUCGGCCUAGAAUAAUGGGGAUGUGCUUCCUUGAGUCCUGUAUUGGUUGAGUGUCAAUUACAAUGAAAUCAACAGGAAAAUAAAACUUGUCUACCUGGAUAAGCACGUCCUCCACAAUACCACGAGGUAUUUUUGUGGACCGAUCUGCAAGUUGUAACACCACUAGAGUUGGGUGUAAUUCUCCCAGUCCAAGUUUCACGAAUACAGAGUAAGGCAACAAAUUUACACUAGCUCCUAAAUCCAACAAAGCAUUCUCAAUUGUGUGGUUCCCUAUACUACAUGAGAUAGUGGGGGAGCCUGGGUCUUUGCAUUUUAAAGGAAUUUUAUGUUGGAGUAUAGAACUAACGUUUUCUGUUAAAAAUGCCUUCUUUUGAACAUGCAUAUUUCUCUUUUUAGUACAAAGGUCUUUAAGAAACUUGGCAUAAGAUGGAACUUGUUUAAUAGCAUCAAGUAAAGGGAUGUUAACACUUACCUGUUUGAAGAUUUCGAGAAUCUCACCUGUGGAUUUUCCCUUCUUUCCUUUCACUAACCUCUGAGGAAAUGGAGCUUUGGGAACGUAUUCUCGUAGGUUGGUUUCUUCUUUUUCCUCCGGUGGUGAGUCCUCAGCAUUUACAGGUACAAUUUGAUUUUCUUUUGUCACCGGCAUCUCCACUUUGUUGUCGACUUCCUUUCCUUUUCGCAAGGUCAUGACUGCUUUGACCUCUCCAUACUGUUGUGGUGAACUGGUACUUGCUUCAUGCACUCCUUUAGGAUUAGGCACUGGUUGACUUGGAAACUUGCCUUUCUCAACAGUCAUUGCCAAGGUCUGAACUGAAGAAGCAAGUUGUCCCACCAUCUUCUCGAGGCUUGAAACUGAUUGAGCUUGUGAGUUAAAGCCUGCUCUCAACUCAUUUCGUAGUCCAUCAAUGGUGCGGUUCUGUUGCUCAAUCGUAGAGUGAGUAGCAUUCUUGAAAUUCUGGAAUGAAUCCUCCCAUGGUCUGGGUUGAGAGUAGUUUUGGUUUUGAUUGAAUGGUCUAAAUGGGGGCUGAGAGGCUUGAGGAUUUUGAGGAAUUGGUUGCAUUGGUGGAGCUGGAGCUGCUGGUCCAUUCUGUUGGAAUCCUUGGGACCAUGAAAAAUUGGGGUGGUCUCUCCAUCCAGGAUUAUAUGUGUUGGAGUAUGGGUUGUAAUUUGAUGGCUUUCUCAUUACACCUAUGGCAUUGGCUUGAUCUGGGUAUGAGUCAUGGUCAUGUGGUUCUGUUGAUUUAGCAGUCGAUAACGAUGCUAUUUGUCGAGCAAGACCUUCAACCAUCUCCUUGACUUCUUUGAUUCCCGAAGUUGACUCGCCAAUUUGAACCUCAUUUACUCCCUUAAUUCUUCUAGUAUUCCUGAGUGAUCGACUCCGUUGUUGGGAAUUAUCCGCUUGUCGCUGGAAGAAUUCCCAAAUCUCUGUUGCGCUUUUUGACAUUAGCUCUCCUCCACUUGUUGCCAUUAGCCAUUCUUGCACAUUUGGUAGUAAUCCCUCCAAAAAGUAUUGGCAUUGGUGCCAUUUCUCGUACCCAUGAUGUGGACACUUCAAGAGUAGCCCAUUGAAUCGCUCCCACGUUUCGAAAAACUGCUCGUCCUCUCUUUGUGUAAACUCUGAAAUUUCCCUGCGAAUAGAAUUGGUUUUAUGCACUGGGAAAUAUUUAUUUAGAAAUUUUGUAACCAUUUGUUCCCAUGAUGCAAUGCUAUUAGCAGGCAAAGUAUUUAACCAUGAACGAGCUCUAUCCUUUAAAGAAAAUGGGAAUAAUCUGAGUUUAACAUCAUCGUCUGAAAAAUUUUCAUAUUUAAAAGUUUGACAAAUGGUAUGAAAAUCAUUCAGAUGAUUAUAUGGGUCCUCAUUUUCUAAGCCAUAGAAUGUGGGGAGACAAUUUAGCACACUAGGUUUUAGUUCAAAGCUCCUAGCAGCUACAUUUGGGUAUCUUAUGCAUGAUGUGCUCAAAUUAGCUAAGGGACUAAAAUAGUCCUUAAAUGGCCUCUCCUGUGGUGCUUGUAAAUCCAUUUCAAAUUUAUUUUUAUCGUUCUUGUGUGUGCGAAGUGUUUUUUCUAAUUCAAGGUCUAUAGGUUCAAGAUUAGGUAAUAAUGACCUACGACCAUGCAUGCAAAAUAAAAUAAAAAUAAAAAUAAAGAUGCAAACAAAACAAAAAAUAAAGAUGGGAACAAAACAAAUAAAAAUAAAGAAGAGGGAGAAAUUAUGAUACUAACCUUAUUGCGCUAUUACAACCUUUCUAUAAAAAUACACAAAAACAAAUACGUGAAAUAAAUUAACUAAAAAUUAAAUUAAUAAAAUAAACAAAAAUUACAAAGAAAAAAUAAAUUGAAAAUUAAAUUACAGAAUUUUAAAGAAGAGAAAAAGAAAAGAAAUACUAACCUUUAAAUGUAGAUUUACUCUUUUUUUUUUCUUUUUUUUUUUUCAAUAAGAAAAAAAAAUACAAGAAAACAAAUAAAAGAAAUUAUUCACAAAAAUUAAUUCUAUGAAUUAAAAUUACUUACCUCCCCGGCAACGGCGCCAAAAACUUGUUGUGCAAAUUUUAAUGUACUCGCAAGCGCACGAAUCUAUUGUAGUGUAGAUCAAUGGUGACGAGUGUCGAUCCCAGGAGGAGGUGGAUUUUAAUUAUGUGUAGAAUUAAUUCUGUAAAUAGGUGGUUGGAAUUGUGGUGGAAGUGAUUUAAGUUAUCCUAAAAUUGGAAUUGAAAUUGCGAUAAUAAAUUCUAAAAUUGGAAUUGCAAUGGCGAGAAUAAGUUGAAGCGAAAUCUAUUGAAAUGACGUACUUGGGUAUCUGGAUCCGUAUCAACAUGCAUCAUGGGCUAAAUAAUUCGUAUUAAUGCCAAUUAAAUCAUGAGGGGGGAAUCCACACCUCAUGAACCACGCUCUAAUCAAUAUGGUGCUAAGGGCUUAUCGUGCCAAAUAAUAAUAACCUUAUACUAGAGAGCCGGUGUAACCAAGGCGGUAUCUAGACAAGAUCAGUAUUAUUUGUCGACGAUAAGUCAAAUCAUCCACAAAAACUAGAGGGGAAAAGAAAAUAAAUUUACCAAAUAAAGCCCAUGACACAUGUUGAGACUUCACCUUCAACCCAAGCUUGAAAAGAAAUUAGCUACUCAUAAUUGAACUAGGGGCAAAAUGGGAAUUUAUUAAAAUACAAAGAAAAUACAAGAUGGAGAGGGAAUUACAGAAAAUGGAUCCCAAAAAUGGAUUCAGAGAUAUCAAAUUAGGGGGGAGAGGCCCCCUUUUUAUAGAUACAUGGAGUAAAUCAUGGCCAUCGGAUUAAAAACAGUUUGGACGCUCAGGAUUGCGCCACGUCAUCAGUCAACAGUCCACGGUUUGACCACGCGGAUGAACAGUAACACGGUUUGACCCGGAUGAACAGUAACGCGGUUUGGUUGACAAUAAUCCUGUGUGAUGCAUGCACCGUACGCGAGAUUUUUCGUCCACUGAUAUGCUGCCACGUCACCAUCAACAGUACAUAAGAAUUUUAGUCCAACAGGAUCGUGACACCUCAUUAGUCAAUGCCACAUCAUCGGUCAAUGCCACGUCAUCGAUCAAUGCCACGUCAUCGAUCCGUCUAUGUGAACAGUGUCGUGAACAGUAACGUGAACAGUACCGUAUACGUGAAUAGUGCCAUUUUUCCUUUUAUGCUCCUCCUAAGGUUUUCGACCGUCCUGAGUUCAAAAGUGAUGUCCGUUUUGCCGUCUGAUCUCUCCUUUAUUGUGAAAUGACUAUAAUGCCCCUAAAAUACAUAAAAUACUUAAUUAAAAUAACACACACGUAAUUACAUCACAAGAAGGUUAAAUACAUAAAAGUAAGGGUUGUUAGUAAGACUUGAAAUGUAAAAUGACGGUUUUCUCCUUUAUAAAUAUGUAUUUUCUAACACUCAACACACGCCUCGAUCUGAGUUAGUUGCUGCCACACCUCGCCUCGCCGCCGUCGAAUCCUUGCAAUCGAAGAAGCCUCGUUUGAGCACUUUAAUUAAAAUGGUCUUGGCAAGCCUUGUUGAAUCCUUUGGCCUUUGUUGAUUCAAUUUAGUUUAAUUUUGAAUAAAUUUCUUUGCUGAUUCGUUUCAUCCCUUUAAUUAAAUGCAUUAAUUUUCAAUAUAAUGUAAAUAUUUAAUAGGUUUUGGGAUUAGGUUUUAAUUUGAAAAAUUGUUGAAUUUUUAAAUUAUAUUUUAAAUUUUUGCGGAUCCAGAUAUUCGGGAUAUCCGCCCGCAAUACGAACGGAUAUUACUCACAUCCGUAUCCGUAAAAAAUUUACAGAUGCAUAUCUGAAUCCGAAUAUAAAAAUAUCAAUCUAAAUCCAAAUUUUACCACCCCUAAUUCUCACUUCCCAUGCAAUAAUACAUUGGCGAUUGAUGCUAUAAAGUAUGGGGGUAUGAAACCCAUCCAAUUCAUUCAUUCACGUGUCCUGCAUUUAUUAUCUCCACCUCACCUUCUUCAACAUUUAUUGCCACCAUCAAAUUCCACAAUGUUCGCCCUUGAAAGUUUUUACUUUUUAUUAUUCGUGUUAAAGAGGUUGAUCUGCUUGGGCCUCUUGGCCCUAGCUAACUAUUCCUACGAUACAAUAUUUCUUUGGAUAUGAACAUAUAUGUCUUGCCGAGAGUAUACAUAAAGCUUAUAUUUAUUUUUACUAUCGUUCAAUAAAAUCAUGCUAUUUAUACAAUCAUCAAAAAAACAAUAUGUAAUUUUUUUAGGAGAAAUUUUUAUUGAAGUAAUUUUGGGACAAGAACGUUUCGGUUCAGUAGUUUCCAAUGUUAUUUUUCAAGUACGGAUGUAACUCAUCCAAUUACAUCAAAUAGGUCCAUAAUUCCUCCCAAGUUUUGUUUUGUUCUUCUUCUUUUAAUAUCACAUUACCACAAUCUCUUAAUCAAUUCUAUAAUGGCAAAAUUUAAAUAUUUAGUUUGGAUUUAAAAUAAAUGGAACCUAUUUUUGAAUGAUUAAAAGAAAAUUAACCUCACAAAUACACAUAAGUAAACUCAAACUUUGUGGAAAGAGAAUUGAUUUACUAUUAGGUUAUUGGAUGGUUCUCUUAACCCUUAAUUUUUUAAGAAAAAAAAAGGAAAUGAAGGCCCUAACCCCAUUUGAGAAGUAUCUAAAUGCUCUUUAUUCUGUAAUAGUUUUGGCAUAGUCUUACAUUCUCAAUAUUCAUUCAAAUGGAGAAGUUAGUGGACUAAUUUGAAAAAAAAAAUUAAAGAUCUAAUGUUAUUAACCGUUUUCUAAUCUUCUAUUAAGAAAUUUUUUGCUGGAAUAUGGAAACCUAUAAGCAAUUGGGAAUGUAUUGACCGCAAUUUGCAAAACUCGUUGACUCUGGGAUGAUCUCUCCACGUACGCGUGAGUGCGUGUCGGUAUAAAUAUGAAGGACUUAUCACAUAGCCCACAUGGACGACCCACCCCCGACAAUCAGGUUACAUGCCUCUUUCGUCAUAAAAGAUUGUCAAUUCUUCAUUAAGACUAUUUUUUUUUCUUUUAACACCUAUAAAAGUAUUUAAACAUAUCUAGCUAAUUUUUAUGUUGACACAUUUAUUAACAACAUUGUUAGUACCAAAAUUGACAUUAGCUAAAUAAGACUAUUUUUUUUCCAAACAUCCUUAAAAAUACUUAUAAAACAUUUAGGCUUUAGCUAAUUCCUAUGUUGACACAUUUAUUAAUCUACAAAAAUGCCUUCAUUUAGAGUAGUUGAGAAAACUAUUAUGAUUUUUUGUUUUAGUUUUCUAAAUCAAAUCCAUUUUUCUCCAGUUUUGUUUUCUCUAGUAGCCAUUUGCCCAUACUUAUGUUUUGGCCCCACCCCCCUCCCCCCGGCCGCGGAAAAAAAAGCCAACAACACAAUUCUUCUAACGAUCGAUUGAAUUUUUUUUUAUUUUGCCCCUUAAUUUCCUUUUUUUUUUUUUAAUUGCACCAUGCUAUUUUCUUGCACUGAUAUUGUUGCUUCUUUUUUAUAUUCAUUUUCUUUUAUUUCUACUUUAACUGCAAAACUACUUUUUUUUGGCGAAUAAUUAAUUUGUUCAAUUUUUUUCUAUUGUAAGGAAAAAUGUGGCAAGUGAAAUAAUGAGAGCAUGAAAGGAUGUGAGCAUGAGAACAUUUAAGCAUGUGAGCAUGUAAGCAUGAGGGCACGUGAGCAUGUGAGCAUAUGAGUAUGAGAGUAUGUGAGCAUGAGAUAAUGAGAGCAUCAAGCAUGUAAGCAUGACAACAGAUGAGCAUGCGAGCAUGUGAGCAUGCUCGCAUGAGAGCAUGCUAGUUCAGUAGAAAAUUUAAUAAGUCAAUUAAACAUAGCUAUAUACAAGCAUGAGAUAAUGAAAACAUGUUAGCAUGAGAGCAUGCAAGCUCAGUAGGAAACUAAUAAAUCAAUUAAGCAUGUUACAUGAAAGCAUGAGACCAUGAGAGCACAUGACCAUGAGAGCAUGUGAGCAUGAAAGCAUGUGACCAUGGGACCAUGAGAGCACGCGAGCAUGUACCGGAGCAUGAGAGCAUACAAGCUCAGUAGAAAACUUAAUAAGUCAAUUAAGCACAACUACACUCAGUAGGAAGUUUAAUAAGUCAAUUAAACACAACUACACUUAGUAAGAAACUUAAUAAGUCAAUUAAACACAGUUACAUAAGAGCAUACAAGCUCAAUAAGAAGCUUAAUAAGUUAAUUAAGCUCAGUUAAAUGAGAGCAUAAAGUCAAAUGAGCACAACUGUUAGAGAGCAUGAUUGCAACAUAGCAUUGUGAUAACACUUAAUAAGUCAAAAAAGUAUGAUUGCGGGAGAUUGUUGUUGUAGGCGAGCAUAAUAGCACAAAAGCGCUACCAUGGGAGAUGAGUUUAACUAAAAAAGCCCAGCUGCUGAAUCUAAUAACUAGGCAACAAUAGUUGGAAACAUUAUCAAAGCCUAGUAAAAGAAAUUAGAAGCUCUUGAAGCACAAAGCGAGAUAAAAAAGGAGAUUAAAUGUUGGAGAUAAACAUUGAUAAAAGAUAAAACUCAAUCUAAGAAGGAGAUAAAUAUUGAUAUUAGAUAAAAGUCUAAGUGAUAAAGAUGAUCAACACGAGGAAUUAUCGAGGAAUCGGGAUAUAAAUUUUAUUAUAAAUAGAGAAUCCCUGAUGGAUAGAGGUAUAAGAGUAAAUAGUUAGACCCAAAAAAGAAAAAGAGCUUCAUUGUAAUUCUUAUUUAAUAGUGAACAUUACUCUUUCUAUACCCAUGGAUAUAGCUAAGUGUUAAAUCACGUAAAUUCUUUAUUUUAUUUUUUCUUAUAUCAUCACAUUAUUCUCUAGUUGAUUAGAAAUUAGCGUCAACAUUUAAAAAAAAAAAUGCAAUGCCCUUAAUUGUAAAUCACAUUUGGGUAUUUUGUAAUUAAAAUUUUGAUAAAAUAUUAGUUUGCAGAGUAUUUUGUAGGGUGCAAUUACUCUCAUCCAAUUUUUUAAUUAUCUAAUUAUUUACUAAUUUGAAAUAGUCCAGAUUUAUUGAAAUGUUUUAUUAUUUAUAAUUUCAGUACACAACAAGGGCUGCAAUGUUAAUAACCAAUUUCACGCAUCCACCUACUAAAACUACUGUUCCAUAAAAUCUAAUGGUGACAACAUAAACACCAAAAAAAAAUAAAAUUGGGGGUAUUAUACAACAAUUGUAGGGUAAUCAGACCGGUUUAAUAGUCAUAAAUACUUAUGUAAUUCCACAAGCUCUUUUUAAAUUUUUCGCUAAUUUAAUUAUUUUUUAGUAGAGCUUUUGAAUAUUAAAUAAGCUAUAUUGCGCUUAAAUUUUAGGUUUUUGAGAAUAGAUGUUAAAUUUUAUUUUUAAAUUAUAUGUCAUAUAGUUCAGCCUCUUUUUUAAAAUGUUAAAAUACCUAAAAUGUCAUUUACUUAUUUGUCAAACAUAUUUCAUUCCUUUCAUAACAUAUUUUUAAAAAAGCUUACCAAUUAAAAUAAUUUUAUGAUUAAUACUACCGAUCGUAAUAUGUUUCUAAUUGAUAAUUUUACCCUUUAUAUCCAAUGAAAUUGUUGUUUUGGUUUUACUCUACCCCAAUUACAUCUACAUGAUGUUUGCGAUCAAUUAACAGUUAACUAAUCAUUAUAAUUAAAUUUAUAAUUAUUUAGUAGUAAAGUGUUAUAGUACAGUCAUUAGUGCACUUAGGGUGCGUUUGGUAUACGUAUUGUAUUAUGUUGUAUUGCAUUAUUUUAAUGCUGGUGUAUUGUAUUAUGCUGUAUUGCAUUAGCAUUGUAUUAUAAUAAUACUGUACAAUGUUUGGUACUACACUGUACUGUAAUAAUUUUUUAUUAAUUUAAAUUAAAUUAAAUAUUAUAUUAAUAUAUUUAAAUUGUAUUAAUAUUUUAUAUUAUUAUUUAUAUUAUUAUUAAUUUUAAAUUAAUAUUAUUCAUAUUUAAAUAUUUAUUAUUAGUCAUAAUAAAUUGUAAAUUUAUUAAUAAAUUAAAAUGUAAAAAUAAAAAAUAGAAUAUAAUAUUAUUGAACAAUAAAUCAUUUAUUUAUAUUAAUAAUUAUAAUGUAAAAAAUAAAAAAUAUUAAAUAAUAUAAUAUUAAAUUAAAAAAUAAUAUUUAUUAUUAUUAUUAUUAUUAUUAUUAUUAUUAUUAUAAUAAAAUUAAAGUAAAAGCAAAAGUUAGCAAAAGCUGGAAAGUUGGAAACGAAAAGGAAAAAAAAAAGGAAAGAGCAAACGAAAAGGAAACAAAUAUUAAAUAAUAUAAUAUUAAAUUAAAAAAUAAUAUUUAUUAUUAUUAUUAUUAUUAUAAAAUUAAAGUAAAAGCAAAAGUUAGCAAAAGUUGGAAAGUUGGAAACGAAAAGGAAAAAAUAAAAAAAGGAAAGAGCAAGCGGCAGUUUGCCGCAUUAGAUUGGCCCAUUAUGCAGUGUUUCUGUAGCUUUUAACUUACCAAAUAUGGGCUUGUAUAAAGCUAAUGCAAUGAGGAGUUAUAAUACAGCAACCAAACAUGCCCUUAAGCAGUAAAAAGAUAACCUAAUCAGUAAAAAGAUAAUAACUCAAAUAAAAAUAUUUGAACACAAUUAAGAUAUAUAUAUUUGGGGAUAAUUAAUUGAUGAGGGAAAAUGCUUGCAGGAGGGGCAAGUGGAGUUGGUUUGGAGACAGCAAGGGUCUUGGCUCUACGUAAAGCUCAUGUUAUUAUUGCUGCAAGAAACAUGGCAGCUGCAAAUGUAUUCUAAAAGAAGAUGACACUGCUCGUGUUGAUAUUCUGAAACUUGAUCUUUCCUCUAUUGCUUCUAUUAAAGAUUUUGCUCAAAACUUCAUUGCUCUUAAUCUUCCCCUUAACAUCUUAAUGUAAUUUUACUCUCCCCUCUUUCUCGAAAUAUUACAUAACUAUCUACUGAUGUUUCCGAGAAACAAUAAAAGCAUACUAUAACAUGCAAAAAUUAAUUUAAUGCAGAAACAAUGCUGGAAUCAUGUUCUGUCCCUACCAGAUUUCUGAAGAUGGAAUAGAGAUGCAAUUUGCAACA